RNAcentral lists this long non-coding RNA (418 nucleotides) under Chinchilla lanigera (long-tailed chinchilla). Its description in RNAcentral is "lncRNA (ENSCLAG00000022352.1)". The record is from RNAcentral. Lineage: Eukaryota; Metazoa; Chordata; Mammalia; Rodentia; Chinchillidae.
GUGCAGGGCAGCUGGACCGCCACAGUUGUCAUGCCAGUGAUUAUAUGAUGGGGUGGGGCGAUCCAAGCUGUUUUAACUGACCAUAGUCAAAUCUUUGGGAAAAACGGUGGGGAUAAAACCAGAGAAUCUUUGUGUUCAUCACAGCUAACUGGGAUUCAGAAAGGUGUGGACAUUAAAAAUAGGCUAAUUGCCCCCUCCCUGAUGUCAGCCACAUUAAGGUGUUUCCGAAGAUACAUUUUUCAAAGAGGACGAAGCAGUCCCUGAAGAGUGGCAGGAGUGGGAGAAGGAUGCCACCACCAACAGUGGGGCUGCAGUCAUCUGGCGGGACUGGAGGAUUAAAACAGAUCAAAAAGGGAGCAAGACCAACUGUGACAGCCCUCCACUUGAAUUAUAUCUGGUAACAUCCCUCUGACCAAGG